RNAcentral lists this ribosomal RNA (496 nucleotides) under uncultured bacterium. RNAcentral's name for it is "partial 16S ribosomal RNA". It matches the Rfam family "Bacterial small subunit ribosomal RNA", at positions 30 to 523 of the family's 1533-position model. The record is from RNAcentral.
AUUGAACGCUGGCGGAAUGCUUUACACAUGCAAGUCGAACGGUAGAGGGGGCAACCCCUUGAGAGUGGCGAACGGGUGAGUAAUACAUCGGAACAUGCCCAGUCGUGGGGGAUAACGUAGCGAAAGCUACGCUAAUACCGCAUACGAUCUAUGGAUGAAAGCGGGGGACCGAAAGGCCUCGCGCGAUUGGAGUGGCCGAUGGCAGAUUAGGUAGUUGGUGGGGUAAAGGCCUACCAAGCCUGCGAUCUGUAGCUGGUCUGAGAGGACGACCAGCCACGCUGGGACUGAGACACGGCCCAGACUCCUAAGGGGGGCAGCAGUGGGGAAUUUUGGACAAUGGGCGCAAGCCUGAUCCAGCCAUUCCGCGUGCAGGAUGAAGGCCCUCGGGUUGUAAACUGCUUUUGUACGGAACGAAAAGGUGGCCUCUAAUACAGGUUGCUGAUGACGGUACCGUAAGAAUAAGCACCGGCUAACUACGUGCCAGCCGCCGCCGUAA